Long non-coding RNA from Mercenaria mercenaria, 3053 nucleotides. RefSeq lists it as uncharacterized. The record is from RefSeq and is a predicted model, not a curated record. Lineage: Eukaryota; Metazoa; Mollusca; Bivalvia; Venerida; Veneridae. The transcript has 9 exons.
ACUUUAGUGAAAAUAAAUAUUGGAAAAUAUCGAGUUUUGUGAAGCCAAUUUAAUAUGGCGCAACAAAGUUUAUUUCUGAAGUGAUUUCCAAACUAUUUACGCCUUUUUUCAGUGAAAACGACUUCAAACUUUAAGAUACUGGGAUUUAGAUUUUCUCAAAGUUGUUUUUGGUCAGAACAAUGGCGAAAACUACGAUUUGUUUAGUUGUUUCGUUGUUUAUAGCUGUGUUGUCACAAAGAGAUUGCAUGAUCAAAGAUAAAUCAGAUCCAUGCAAGAGAUAUAACACGAGAGAUAUUCCGUACCUAGACAGCAGACAUCCUUCCGUCAGAUACACUGACAAAACUGCCGAUGUUAACAAAUACUGUGACCUUUAUGCGCUGGAUGAUGGGGUCUAGUAUAUCAGUGACUACAACAUAACCCAGACGUGUGUACAACAAGAAUCAUGUGGUUCACGACUUCCCAUUUGGUUAAAUGGGACAAUGCCAACAUCUGUAGAAGGAGCUGUUAAUCGAUCAGCCUGUCUUAGGACGUAUGAUGGGUGUUGUGCAAAAUCGUACAUGUUAAUGGUCAAGAACUGCAUUUUUUACAAUGUGUACUGCUUCUGGAAUCUUCCACAUGACUGUCCUGAAAGAUACUGUUUCGACGUUGACCUUUCAGAGGCCACCACUACUACUACAACUACCACAACUACGUCGACAACUUCACCAAUUUCAGUAACUACGCAAAAGGUUCCAUCCACUUCAGAGACAGCUGACACAGCGAAAAGAAACGGAAAUGGUUGUAGGAAUGUAAUAAUCGCAUUGUCGUCUGUGAUCGUUGUAUCUGUUUCAGCUAACCUCGUGCUGUCUGGUCGAAUUGUAGUUCUUAAAAAAAAACUGGCGACCUCUGUUCUACCAAAUCCAGUGAAUGGGUAUGCGAAGUUUCAUCUAGUAAUAUAAAUAGUUUCUUAAAACAUAACGCCGUCGCGUUGUUUAUCGUCUGUUUUACAACUUUUCAGAGUUGAGGUGAGUAGUAUUUGAUAUUCGAAAGCUCCACGCAUCGAACGAUGGACCAUGGUAAACCAGAUCAUGAACCACAAGAAUAUCUUGUUUAUUUUCAUUUAAAUACGCUCGUUAAAACAUGAGGAUUUAAUGUAUAUUGUACUGUAUUAAUCCAAGUAGGAAGUUUAUAGGACAAUAUACAACGCUUGACUUCCUUUUUGUUUAACUCAAAUACAAAAUGAGCCUAUUUAUAUAUACAGCUUCAGUAUUUAACAAGGUGAUUGGUAACACCGAUGAAUGCGCCCUGAAAAUACUGUAGCAUAAGAGGCUUUACAAUCACGGAUGUUAUGUUAAGGAAAAAUGUGCUCAGCAAGACUUGUGGUUCAUUUACACUGCGCUCCCUCUCACUGAUCUCUAUGAAUAUGUAAAGUAUGAAGUGAAUAGCUUACAUAGUAUUCGAGUUAUGCUCCGGAUUAGAUUUUAAAAAGGGAGAUAAAUAAAAAAGUUAGACCACCUAGAGUUAUGAUUCCUUGUCACUGCAUUCUCUCUCACUGACCUCUAUCAAUAUGUAAAGUAUGAAGGCAAUAGUUUACAAAGUAUGCAAGUUUUUCCCCGGACAAAGUUUUCAAAAAGGGAGAUAACUCAGAAAUAAGACAAGAUACAAGAUACAAGAAGAUUUAUUUAACGUCGGAUAAGAAUAAAACAUAUAACACUAGCUUAAAGCUAUUUUCCGACAAAGGAAUUUGUUUACUUGUCACUAGACACUCUCUUACUGACCGCUAUCAAUAUGUAUAGUAUCAAGUCAAUAUCUUACAUAGUAUUUGAGUUAUGCCCUUAACAAGGUUUUCAAAUACAGGGAGAUAAUCAACAAAUGGACACACCUAGAGUCAAAAUCCUUAUGUAUUUUCAGUAAUUGAAAUAUGCAGAUAGUUUAAUGUUAUAAAACUGUUUCAGGGAAAAGGUUGCGAUAUUGUUAAGUAACACCCACAUAAUGCAUGACAUAACUACGGUGUCGUUCCAGUUUAAAUUAUGAAGGAAACUACUCGGAAUUCUCCGGGAAUUAUUUCAUGUACACACAGGACACCUAAGAACCGUAACGAACGUCUGAAGAUCACUAGAUGCUUUCUUGUUUCUUUACAUGACGCUUGAGCGAGAUCGAACCGAAAGAAAUGAAGAGUAGCGACCAUAACCACCAGGUCACGAAUGACUGUUUACAAUUUUCAACAUUGUGUUAAAAUUGAAAUAAUGUGCACUUUUUGUUUACAGAAAACUGGCGAACACUGUUCUACCAAAUCCAGUGAAUGGGGAAAAGAUUGCAAUAUAUUAGACCACAUCAGCUGGACCAGCUAAAAGUGUGAAAAAGUAAAAUAAAGAGAUGUCAUCUUCUAUUUAACAUUAUCAUGUAACCGUUCAAAUCUGGAAAUAUGAUUGUGUUUUUCUUUUCUGUAUUUAUAGUUUGUUUUGACUUAUGAUACGAGGAAAUUAAAGCCAGUGGCCACAUUUUCAUAUUCACUUAUUGUUAUUUAUAUAUAUGAUAGUUCUACAGCCAGAGACGAAACAAUCAAAACGAUAUCAGAUGGAAAUAUAUAAAUAUUUACUAAUGUCAAUAUUCUAAACAUACCAUUAGUUACAGCAACAUAUGAUUUUGAAAUCUGUAGAGGUACUACAUGAACUGUUUUAUUGCAUAAGAAUGUCAAAAAAAUGUAAAUAUUUUUCGUUUGAUUAAUAAUGAAUGUAACAAACUUCAUGUUUGUAAUGUUUUGAUUCUUAUGAGUAUUACAUGUGUUGCAUCUAUAUUCUUAAUUUGUACAAAGUUCAGUAGCAAGAGUUAAAACUUAUUUAAGAGUAAAGGUCGUUCAUAAAGAUGGAGUUUAUCGCCUGAAACAGACAUAUUUCAAAACUGGUUGCUAAAUUUUAUAACAGUUUUACACGUUGCAUUAAUUCUUGAAUUGUACAAAACACCAAAAGCUUGGAUUUUAUCAUAUAUUUAGGCAAAGAACAAUUCUUACAAUUCUUAUACUAUUCUGAUUGUUAAUUUAAAUUUGCUUUGUUUUUACACCUGUGUGAUGUGUU